AAACUCAAAGGAAUUGACGGGGACCCGCACAAGCAGCGGAGCGUGUGGUUUAAUUCGUUGCUACACGGAGAACCUUACCUGGGUUUGACAUAUAGGUUGUAGGGAACUGAAAAGGGACCGACCCUUCGGGGAGCCUAUACAGGUGUUGCAUGGCUGUCGUCAGCUCGUGUCGUGAGAUGUUCGGUUAAGUCCGCUAACGAGCGCAACCCUCGUCGUAUGUUAUAUGUGUCAUACGAGACUGCCGGUAAAAGCCGGAGGAAGGUGAGGAUGAUGUCAAGUCAGCAUGACCUUUAUAUCCAGGGCUACACACACGCUACAAUGGUCUGUACAAUGGGUAGCCAAGCCGCGAGGCGGAGCCAAUCCUGAAAGCAGGCCUCAGUUCAGAUUGCAGUCUGCAACUCGACUGCAUGAAGCCGGAGUUGCUAGUAACCGCAGGUCAGCAAUACUGCGGUGAAUACGUUCCCGGGUCUU
This 471-nucleotide ribosomal RNA is filed under the name uncultured Anaerolineaceae bacterium. RNAcentral describes it as "bacterial SSU rRNA". It matches the Rfam family "Bacterial small subunit ribosomal RNA", at positions 897 to 1382 of the family's 1533-position model. The record is from RNAcentral. Lineage: Bacteria; Bacillati; Chloroflexota; Anaerolineae; Anaerolineales; Anaerolineaceae.